GUAUGAUGAAUCACAAUGUCAUUUUACCUGUUUUAGAUCGCAUUACUGCAAAUCUGCUUCCUUCGCGUUGGCUGAGUUGGGCAGAGUUACGUGAUGAAAAAUUAUCUUGUCAUAUAACAGAAAGCAGAGAAGACACUGAGAGAUGCCGCAGACACAAUGGCCAGGACAGCUCCUUGUGUUUGCCAAACUUGUUCCUUAUUCAGCUGUAACAACACAAAUCUCCUGCUCACCCAAUGUUGUCAUGAAAAUACCUCAAGUUCAUCAGAUACUGACCAAGGGUGUAAUGAUUACUUACAUAUCAUCUCUAUGGGCACCAAAACUAAGUGGAAAGAAGGACUAAACUGUUGGAAAUAAACCCCUCACUUGGCAGAAAUUGUUCAUGUGUUCCUGUAAACAACCUGAAGCUACCCACAGGAUG
RNAcentral lists this long non-coding RNA (418 nucleotides) under Salmo salar (Atlantic salmon). RNAcentral describes it as "lncRNA (ENSSSAG00000112332.1)". Lineage: Eukaryota; Metazoa; Chordata; Actinopteri; Salmoniformes; Salmonidae. The record is from RNAcentral.